CUACGGGAGGCUCCAGUGAGGAAUAUUGCACAAUGGGGGGAACCCUGAUGCAGCAACGCCGCGUGGAGGAUGACGCAUUUCGGUGUGUAAACUCCUUUUAUAUGUCAAGAAAAUGACGGUAGCAUAUGAAUAAGCACCGGCUAACUCCGUGCCAGCAGCCGCGGUAAUACGGAGGGUGCAAGCGUUACUCGGAAUCACUGGGCGUAAAGGACGCGUAGGCGGGCUUGUAAGUCAGGUGUGAAAUCCUACAGCUUAACUGUAGAACUGCACUUGAAACUACGAGCCUAGAGUAUGGGAGGGGGAGAUGGAAUUAGUGGUGUAGGGGUAAAAUCCGUAGAUAUCACUAGGAAUACCUAAAGCGAAGGCGAUCUCCUGGAACAUAACUGACGCUAAGGCGUGAAAGCGUGGGGAGCAAACAGGAUUAGAUACCCCCGUAGUC
RNAcentral lists this ribosomal RNA (439 nucleotides) under uncultured bacterium. Its description in RNAcentral is "partial 16S ribosomal RNA". It matches the Rfam family "Bacterial small subunit ribosomal RNA", at positions 339 to 795 of the family's 1533-position model. The record is from RNAcentral.